GACGAAGGAUGCAAGCGUUAUCCGGAUUCAUUGGGUUUAAAGGGUGCGUAGGCGGUCGGGUAAGUCUGAUGUGAAAUCUCCAAGCUCAACUUGGAAAUGGCAUCGGAUACUAUUCGGCUCGAGGAAUGGAGGGGAGACUGGAAUACUUGGUGUAGCAGUGAAAUGCGUAGAUAUCAAGUGGAACACCAGUGGCGAAGGCGAGUCUCUGGACAUUUCCUGACGCUGAGGCACGAAAGCCAGGGGAGCAAACGGG
Molecule: ribosomal RNA, 253 nt
Filed under: uncultured bacterium
Lineage: Bacteria
Description: partial 16S ribosomal RNA
Rfam family: Bacterial small subunit ribosomal RNA
Source: RNAcentral